GAUGAAGAACGUAGCGAAAUGCGAUAAGUAAUGUGAAUUGCAGAAUUCAGUGAAUCAUCGAAUCUUUGAACGCACUUUGCGCCCGUCAGUAUUCUGGCGGGCAUGCCUGUUCGAGCGUCAUUACGCCCCUCAAGUCCCCUGUGGACUUGGUGUUGGGGAUCGGCGAGGCUGGUUUUCCAGCACAGCCGUCCCUUAAAUUAAUUGGCGGUCUCGCCGUGGCCCUCCUCUGCGCAGUAGUAAAACACUCGCAACAGGAGCCCGGCGCGGUCCACUGCCGUAAAACCCCCCAACUUUUUAUAGUUGACCUCGAAUCAGGUAGGACUACCCGCUGAACUUAAGCAUAUCAAUAAGCGGAGGA
This 358-nucleotide unclassified non-coding RNA is filed under the name soil metagenome. RNAcentral's name for it is "partial contains 5.8S ribosomal RNA, internal transcribed spacer 2, and large subunit ribosomal RNA". The stretch from base 1 to 120 matches the Rfam family "5.8S ribosomal RNA", at positions 35 to 154 of the family's 154-position model. The record is from RNAcentral.